AGUGAACGCUGGCGGUAGGCCUAACACAUGCAAGUCGAACGGCAGCACAGUAAGAGCUUGCUCUUACGGGUGGCGAGUGGCGGACGGGUGAGGAAUACAUCGGAAUCUACUUUUUCGUGGGGGAUAACGUAGGGAAACUUACGCUAAUACCGCAUACGACCUACGGGUGAAAGCAGGGGAGCUUCGGACCUUGCGCGACUGAAUGAGCCGAUGUCGGAUUAGCUAGUUGGCGUGGUAAAGGCCCACCAAGGCGACGAUCCGUAGCUGGUCUGAGAGGAUGAUCAGCCACACUGGAACUGAGACACGGUCCAGACUCCUACGGGAGGCAGCAGUGGGGAAUAUUGGACAAUGGGCGCAAGCCUGAUCCAGCCAUACCGCGUGGGUGAAGAAGGCCUUCGGGUUGUAAAGCCCUUUUGUUGGGAAAGAAAAGCAGCAGGUUAAUACCCCGCUGUUCUGACGGUACCCAAAGAAUAAGCACCGGCUAACUUCGUG
Molecule: ribosomal RNA, 492 nt
Filed under: uncultured bacterium
Lineage: Bacteria
Description: partial 16S ribosomal RNA
Rfam family: Bacterial small subunit ribosomal RNA
Source: RNAcentral